UGCCAGCAGCCGCGGUAAUACGUAGGUGGCGAGCGUUAUUCGGAUUUACUGGGCGUAAAGGGUCCGUAGGGGGUUUUUCAAGUCUGAUGUGAAAUCCUGCGGCUCAACCGCAGACCUGCAUUGGAAACUGUAAGACUGGAGUACAGGAGAGGUAAGUGGAAUUACCGGUGUAGCGGUGGAAUGCGUAGAUAUCGGUAGGAACACCAAGGGCGAAGGCGGCACUCUGGCUAGAGACUGACACUGAGGCACGAAAGCGUGGGGAGCAAACAGGAUUAGAUA
Molecule: ribosomal RNA, 279 nt
Filed under: uncultured bacterium
Lineage: Bacteria
Description: partial 16S ribosomal RNA
Rfam family: Bacterial small subunit ribosomal RNA
Source: RNAcentral